AAUCAACGCUGGCGGCGUGCCUCAGACAUGCAAGUCGAACGCGAAAGUCCCCUUCGGGGGACAAGUAGAGUGGCGCACGGGUGAGUAACACGUAGGUAAUCUACCUUCGGGUGGGGAAUAACAACCGGAAACGGUUGCUAAUACCGCAUAAUGCAGCGGCACCUAAUGGUGACAGUUGUUAAAGCGGGGGAUCGCAAGAUCUCGCGCCUGAAGAGGAGCCUGCGGCGGAUUAGCUUGUUGGUAGGGUAACGGCCUACCAAGGCGACGAUCCGUAGCCGGCCUGAGAGGGCGGUCGGCCACACUGACACUGACACACGGGUCAGACUCCUACGGGAGGCAGCAGUCGGGAAUUUUGGGCAAUGGGCGAAAGCCUGACCCAGCAACGCCGCGUGAAGGAUGAAAUCCCUCGGGAU
This 413-nucleotide ribosomal RNA is filed under the name uncultured bacterium. RNAcentral describes it as "bacterial SSU rRNA". It matches the Rfam family "Bacterial small subunit ribosomal RNA", at positions 32 to 424 of the family's 1533-position model. The record is from RNAcentral.